This 499-nucleotide ribosomal RNA is filed under the name uncultured bacterium. RNAcentral describes it as "partial 16S ribosomal RNA". It matches the Rfam family "Bacterial small subunit ribosomal RNA", at positions 28 to 507 of the family's 1533-position model. The record is from RNAcentral.
GACGAACGCUGGCGGCGUGCCUAAUACAUGCAAGUCGAGCGAAGUUUUUCUGGUGCUUGCACCGGAAAAACUUAGCGGCGAACGGGUGAGUAACACGUAAAGAACCUGCCUCAUAGACUGGGACAACUAUUGGAAACGAUAGCUAAUACCGGAUAACAGCAUUAACUGCAUGGUUGAUGUUUAAAAGUUGGUUUUGCUAACACUAUGAGAUGGCUUUGCGGUGCAUUAGCUAGUUGGUGGGGUAAAGGCCUACCAAGGCGACGAUGCAUAGCCGACCUGAGAGGGUGAUCGGCCACACUGGGACUGAGACACGGCCCAGACUCCUACGGGAGGCAGCAGUAGGGAAUCUUCCGCAAUGGGCGAAAGCCUGACGGAGCAACGCCGCGUGAGUGAAGAAGGAUUUCGGUUCGUAAAGCUCUGUUGUUAGGGAAGAAUGAUUGUGUAGUAACUAUACACAGUAGAGACGGUACCUAACCAGAAAGACACGGCUAACUACGUG